GCAGCAGUAGGGAAUCUUCCACAAUGGACGAAAGUCUGAUGGAGCAAUACCAUGUGAACGAUGAAGGCCUUUUUGGUUGUAAAGUUCUUUUACGAGGGAUAAUUAUGAUAGUACUUCGUGAAUAAGUGACAGCAAACUAUGUGCCAGCAGCUGCGGUAAUACAUAGGUCGCAAGCAUUAUUCGGAUUUAUUGGGCGUAAAGCAAGCGCAGGCGGAUGUGUAAGUUCUGUGUUAAAUGCAGCUACUCAAUAGUUGUAUGCACCGAAUACUACAUGUCUAGAUUGUGGUAGGGAGUUUCGGAAUUAAGCAUGGAGCGGUGGAAUGUGUAGAUAUGCUUAAGAACACCAGAGGCGAAGGCGGAAACUUAGGCCAUAAAUGACGCUUAGGCUUGAAAGUGUGGGGAGCAAAUGGGAUUAGAUACCCCAGUAGUCCACACCGUAAACGAUGGGUAUUAGAUAUUAGGGCUUUAGCUUUAGUGUUGUAGCUUACGCGUUAAAUACCCCGCCUGGGUAGUACAUAUGCAAAUAUGAAACUCAAAGGAAUUGACGGGGACCUGAACAAGUGGUGGAGCAUGUUGCUUAAUUCGAUAAUACACGAAAAACCUUACCAAGGUUUGACAUCCCUCGCAAAGCUAUAGAAAUAAGAGAGU
Molecule: ribosomal RNA, 648 nt
Filed under: Mycoplasma haemocanis
Lineage: Bacteria; Bacillati; Mycoplasmatota; Mollicutes; Mycoplasmatales; Mycoplasmataceae
Description: bacterial SSU rRNA
Rfam family: Bacterial small subunit ribosomal RNA
Source: RNAcentral